RNAcentral lists this ribosomal RNA (696 nucleotides) under uncultured bacterium. RNAcentral describes it as "bacterial SSU rRNA". It matches the Rfam family "Bacterial small subunit ribosomal RNA", at positions 32 to 715 of the family's 1533-position model. The record is from RNAcentral.
AACGCUAGCUACAGGCUUAACACAUGCAAGUCGAGGGGAAACGAUAUUGGAAGCUUGCUUCCGAUAGGCGUCGACCGGCGCACGGGUGAGUAACGCGUAUCCAACCUGCCCACCACUUGGGGAUAACCUUGCGAAAGUAAGACUAAUACCCAAUGAUAUCUCUAGAAGGCACCUGAAAGGGAUUAAAGAUUUAUCGGUGAUGGAUGGGGAUGCGUCUGAUUAGCUUGUUGGCGGGGUAACGGCCCACCAAGGCGACGAUCAGUAGGGGUUCUGAGAGGAAGGUCCCCCACAUUGGAACUGAGACACGGUCCAAACUCCUACGGGAGGCAGCAGUGAGGAAUAUUGGUCAAUGGGCGAGAGCCUGAACCAGCCAAGUAGCGUGCAGGAUGACGGCCCUAUGGGUUGUAAACUGCUUUUAUAAGGGAAUAAAGUGAGUCUCGUGAGACUUUUUGCAUGUACCUUAUGAAUAAGGACCGGCUAAUUCCGUGCCAGCAGCCGCGGUAAUACGGAAGGUCCGGGCGUUAUCCGGAUUUAUUGGGUUUAAAGGGAGCGUAGGCCGGAGAUUAAGCGUGUUGUGAAAUGUAGAUGCUCAACAUCUGCACUGCAGCGCGAACUGGUUUCCUUGAGUACGCACAAAGUGGGCGGAAUUCGUGGUGUAGCGGUGAAAUGCUUAGAUAUCACGAAGAACUCCGAUUG